UGCCAGGAACCUUGUUGUCCUGUUUUCAAAA
Molecule: non-coding RNA, 31 nt
Filed under: Mus musculus (house mouse)
Lineage: Eukaryota; Metazoa; Chordata; Mammalia; Rodentia; Muridae
Source: RNAcentral